GAUGAACGCUGGCGGCGUGCCUAAUACAUGCAAGUCGAGCGAACAGACGAGGAGCUUGCUCCUCUGACGUUAGCGGCGGACGGGUGAGUAACACGUGGAUAACCUACCUAUAAGACUGGGAUAACUUCGGGAAACCGGAGCUAAUACCGGAUAAUAUAUUGAACCGCAUGGUUCAAUAGUGAAAGACGGUUUUGCUGUCACUUAUAGAUGGAUCCGCGCCGCAUUAGCUAGUUGGUAAGGUAACGGCUUACCAAGGCAACGAUGCGUAGCCGACCUGAGAGGGUGAUCGGCCACACUGGAACUGAGACACGGUCCAGACUCCUACGGGAGGCAGCAGUAGGGAAUCUUCCGCAAUGGGCGAAAGCCUGACGGAGCAACGUCGCGUGAGUGAUGAAGGUCUUCGGAUCGUUAAACUCUGUUAUUAGGGAAGAACAAAUGUGUAAGUAACUAUGCACGUCUUGACGGUACCUAAUCAGAAAGCCACGGCUAACUACGUG
This 497-nucleotide ribosomal RNA is filed under the name uncultured bacterium. RNAcentral's name for it is "partial 16S ribosomal RNA". It matches the Rfam family "Bacterial small subunit ribosomal RNA", at positions 28 to 507 of the family's 1533-position model. The record is from RNAcentral.